AAAUUGACCCCCGUCACGGGUGAACGGGAAGUCCGGUGAAAGUCCGGCGCUGUCCUCGCAACCGUGAGCAGGAGUUUUUCUGGCUUUAACCACUGGAGAGUAUGGGUGAAAAGCUCCCUCUCUGGGAAGGUUAAAGCCUAUUUAACCCUGCAAGCCGGGAGACCGGCCCGUGAUGGGUAGGAGAA
Molecule: non-coding RNA, 185 nt
Filed under: Desulfurobacterium thermolithotrophum
Lineage: Bacteria; Pseudomonadati; Aquificota; Aquificia; Desulfurobacteriales; Desulfurobacteriaceae
Also listed under: 1 other name
Source: RNAcentral